AUUAAAGAGUUGCAAAACUCCCAAACCAUUGUGAACAUACCUUCAACGUUGCUUCGGCGGGUUGGCCCCGGUCUCCGGGGUCCCCGGCCCUAACGGGCGCCCGCCGGAGGUACCUAACUCUUGAACUUUUAUGGCCUCUCUGAGUCUUUGUACUUAAUAAGUCAAAACUUUCAACAACGGAUCUCUUGGUUCUGGCAUCGAUGAAGAACGCAGCGAAAUGCGAUAAGUAAUGUGAAUUGCAGAAUUCAGUGAAUCAUCGAAUCUUUGAACGCACAUUGCGCCCGCCAGUAUUCUGGCGGGCAUGCCUGUUCGAGCGUCAUUUCAACCAUCAAGCCCCCGGCUUGUGUUGGGGACCUGCGGCUGCCGCAGGCCCUGAAAACCAGUGGCGGGCUCGCUAGUCACUCCGAGCGUAGUAAUACAUCUCGCUCAGGGCGUGCUGCGGGUUCCGGCCGUUAAAAGCCUUAUUUACCCAAGGUUGACCUCGGAUCAGGUAGGAAGACCCGCUGAACUUAAGCAUAUCAAUAAGCGGAGGAAAAGAAACCAACAGGGAUUGCCCUAGUAACGGCGAGUGAAGCGGCAACAGCUCAAAUUUGAAAUCUGGCUUCGGCCCGAGUUGUAAUUUGUAGAGGAUGCUUUGGGCGCGGCUCUAACUGAGUUCCCUGGAACGGGACGCCACAGAGGGUGAGAGCCCCGUAUAGUUAGAUGCCUAGCCUAUGUAAAGCUCCUUCGACGAGUCGAGUAGUUUGGGAAUGCUGCUCUAAAUGGGAGGUAAAUUUCUUCUAAAGCUAAAUAUUGGCCAGAGACCGAUAGCGCACAAGUAGAGUGAUCGAAAGAUGAAAAGCACUUUGAAAAGAGGGUUAAAUAGCACGUGAAAUUGUUGAAAGGGAAGCGCUUGUGACCAGACUUGCGCCGGGCAGAUCAUCCGGU
Molecule: ribosomal RNA, 927 nt
Filed under: Trichocladium crispatum
Lineage: Eukaryota; Fungi; Ascomycota; Sordariomycetes; Sordariales; Chaetomiaceae
Description: eukaryotic LSU rRNA
Rfam family: Eukaryotic large subunit ribosomal RNA (bases 477-927)
Source: RNAcentral